This 497-nucleotide ribosomal RNA is filed under the name uncultured bacterium. RNAcentral describes it as "partial 16S ribosomal RNA". It matches the Rfam family "Bacterial small subunit ribosomal RNA", at positions 28 to 507 of the family's 1533-position model. The record is from RNAcentral.
GAUGGACGCUGGCGGCGUGCCUAAUACAUGCCAGUCGAGCGAACAGACGAGGAGCUUGCUCCUCUGACGUUAGCGGCGGACGGGUGAGUAACACGUGGAUAACCUACCUAUAAGACUGGGAUAACUUCGGGAAACCGGAGCUAAUACCGGAUAAUAUAUUGAACCGCAUGGUUCAAUAGUGAAAGACGGUUUUGCUGUCACUUAUAGAUGGAUCCGCGCCGCAUUAGCUAGUUGGUAAGGUAACAGCUUACCAAGGCAACGAUGCGUAGCCGACCUGAGAGGAUGAUCGGCCAAACUGGAACUGAGACACGGUCCAGACUCCUACGGGAGGCAGCAGUAGGGAAUCUUCCGCAAUGGGCGAAAGCCUGACGGAGCAACGCCGCGUGAGUGAUGAAGGUCUUCGGAUCGUAAAACUCUGUUAUUAUGGAAGAACAAAUGUGUAAGUAACUAUGCACGUCUUGACGGUACCUAAUCAGAAAGCCACGGCUAACUACGUG